GUGGUUGUGGCUCAUUGGUAGAGCUCUUGCCUAGCACAUGUGAGGCACUGAGUUCGAUUCUUAGCACCACA
Molecule: transfer RNA, 71 nt
Filed under: Marmota monax (woodchuck)
Lineage: Eukaryota; Metazoa; Chordata; Mammalia; Rodentia; Sciuridae
Rfam family: tRNA
About the family: Transfer RNA (tRNA) molecules are approximately 80 nucleotides in length. Their secondary structure includes four short double-helical elements and three loops (D, anti-codon, and T loops). Further hydrogen bonds mediate the characteristic L-shaped molecular structure. tRNAs have two regions of fundamental functional importance: the anti-codon, which is responsible for specific mRNA codon recognition, and the 3' end, to which the tRNAs corresponding amino acid is attached (by aminoacyl-tRNA synthetases). tRNAs cope with the degeneracy of the genetic code in two manners: having more than one tRNA (with a specific anti-codon) for a particular amino acid; and 'wobble' base-pairing, i.e. permitting non-standard base-pairing at the 3rd anti-codon position.
Source: Rfam by way of RNAcentral